UUGACCUUCGGGUAUGAAGUUAGAGUGAAGCGAGCGGCGGAUGGGUGAGUGAACAGCGUGGUGUAACCUACCCAUAUAAGUACUAGGGUAGUAGCCACUUGGAAACGGGUGGCUAAUACCGGAUAAAAGGAGAGAUCACAUGAUUUCUUUUUGAAAGGCGGCGUAAGCUGUCGCUAAAGGAUGGACCCGCGGUGCAUUAGCUAGUUGGUAAGGUAACGGCUUACCAAGGCAACGAUGCAUAGCCGAGUUGAGAGACUGAUCGGCCACAUUGGGACUGAGACACGGCCCAAACUCCUACGGGAGGCAGCAGUAGGGAAUCUUCCACAAUGGACGCAAGUCUGAUGGAGCAACGCCGCGUGAGUGAAGAAGGUUUUCGGAUCGUAAAGCUCUGUUGUUGGUGAAGAAAGAUAGUGAGAGUAACUGCUCAUUAUUUGCCGGUAAUCAACCAGAAAGUCACGGCUAACUACGUGCCAGCAGCCGCGGUAAUACGUAGGUGGCAAGCGUUGUCCGGAUUUAUUGGGCGUAAAGCGAGCGCAGGCGGAAAGAUAAGUCAGAUGUGAAAGCCCUCGGCUUAACCGAGGAAUAGCAUCGGAAACUGUCUUUCUUGAGUGCAGAAGAGGAGAGUGGAACUCCAUGUGUCAGCCGGUGGGAAUGCGUAGCAUAUCAUGGAAGAACACCAGUUGGCGAAGCGCGGGCUCUCUGGUCUGUAACUUGACGGCUGAGGCUCGAAAGCAUGGGUAGACGACCAGGAUUAGAUACCCUG
This 763-nucleotide ribosomal RNA is filed under the name uncultured Lactobacillus sp. RNAcentral describes it as "bacterial SSU rRNA". It matches the Rfam family "Bacterial small subunit ribosomal RNA", at positions 69 to 789 of the family's 1533-position model. The record is from RNAcentral. Lineage: Bacteria; Bacillati; Bacillota; Bacilli; Lactobacillales; Lactobacillaceae.